GUGCUCGCUUUGGCAGCACAUAUACUAAAAUUGGAACGAUACAGAGAAGAUUAGCAUGGCCCCUGCACAAGAAUGACAUGCAAAUUCAUGAAGCAUUCCAUAUAUUU
RNAcentral lists this small nuclear RNA (107 nucleotides) under Macaca nemestrina (pig-tailed macaque). Lineage: Eukaryota; Metazoa; Chordata; Mammalia; Primates; Cercopithecidae. The record is from RNAcentral.